RNAcentral lists this ribosomal RNA (438 nucleotides) under uncultured bacterium. Its description in RNAcentral is "bacterial SSU rRNA". It matches the Rfam family "Bacterial small subunit ribosomal RNA", at positions 339 to 793 of the family's 1533-position model. The record is from RNAcentral.
GUACGGGAGGCAGCAGCGAGGAAUAUUGCGCAAUGGGCGAAAGCCUGACGCAGUAACGCCGCGUGAGGGAUGAAGGCCUUCGGGUCGUAAACCUCUUUUCGGAGGGACGAGUGAGGACGGUACCUCUGGAAUAAGUCUCGGCUAACUACGUGCCAGCAGCCGCGGUAAAACGUAGGAGGCGAGCGUUAUCCGGAUUCACUGGGCGUAAAGCGCGUGUAGGCGGCUCGUCAAGUCGGUUGUGAAAGCCCCUGGCUCAACUGGGGGAGGUCAGCCGAGACUGAUGGGCUGGAGGGUCAGAGAGGAAGGUGGAAUUCCCGGUGUAGCGGUGGAAUGCGUAGAGAUCGGGAGGAACACCAGUGGCGAAGGCGGCCUUCUGGCUGACCACUGACGCUGAGACGCGAAAGCGUGGGUAGCAAACGGGAUUAGAUACCCUCGUAU